Molecule: long non-coding RNA, 1074 nt
Organism: Mustela erminea (ermine)
Lineage: Eukaryota; Metazoa; Chordata; Mammalia; Carnivora; Mustelidae
Exons: 4
Source: RefSeq, a predicted model, not a curated record
CUCACAGGUCCCCACAGGACUUCUGCUGUCUUUGCUUUGCUCUGGGUGGAGUUUCACUCAAUGAAAGGAAGAAGUGAAGGAUGUUAUGCACACAGCUUGAGCGGAGGAAGGAGCUGAAGAGGCUGAACGUGUGCCUGGCGGAGCUGCACCAGUGAGAGCCCAGCCCGCAGAGGGGAGAGGGCUGGAGGGUCCUGUGCUGUGGUCAGGAAAUCACGAUCUGUUCCAGGCUGGCCUUCCUUGCUACACUGGGUUUGGGGAUCCCUCUGGCCCCUUGGGUCAUAUUGUGACCUCUAGGCCCCUCCUCCUUACCCACUCAGCGCGGACUCAGGAGGCCUGUCCUCUCACACACGUGACAACCCCAGCCCAGCACCCUCCCUGGGUGGCCGCAGAGUGCCCUCCGACCUCCACAGGGAUCAAGAGAGGUUGGACCUGCAUCUCGGAGGUCUCCUGGGUCACAUAGCCAUUUUUGCAGCAGGCACAUGGACGGGAGCAGUUAUGGGCUGCAAGUCAUCAAUCCCACCAAGAAGGAGAUUCAGGCUUCCUCUUCUGCAGCAUCAUUGAGCAGGAAGCCAGCAGCUGUGAGCUGUGAGUGAAGUGGUGGGUUGUCGUUGUCUAUGCAUAACCGAGGACUUCCAGAAAAUCUUGCCAUGGAAGGAGCUGCUCCAUCACCACUGGCACGUGUCUCUGCAUAUGCCCCAUGAGUCAGUUGUGGAGCCAGAAUGAGCUAACCUGGGUCCCUUCUCCUGCCCCUGCUUCUACUGCCGGAGUAAGGCUGAGGGCAAAGAGAGGGAAGAGGACUGGGAAGACCACACUGAGGUUGACUGAAUCCUCGUCAAUCCAUGGUUGUCUUCUACCUGAGAUACUUUUUGUCAGGUAAAUAGAAAAGUACAGAAGAGAGAGAAAGUAACCAUACUGAAAUCUAAAUGGAACAGAUUUGGAGUCUAAGAACACCUCUUUUAGGGAGGAGGGAGUACUGUCGUCAUCCUAGAAGACACCCCCUGUGGACUUCGAACCAUUUGAAAAUGGGCAUAACAAGGUGGAAUUAUUUUACCCAGUUCUCCUGAGCUGCAUGAU